Non-coding RNA from Morchella snyderi, 99 nucleotides. The record is from the annotation of a GenBank genome assembly. NCBI's taxonomy places the organism in Eukaryota, Fungi, Ascomycota, Pezizomycetes, Pezizales, Morchellaceae.
GCCACGGUAGUGUAGUCGGUUAGCAUACCUCCCAAAAGUCAGCCUGUAGGUGACACUGUUGUGAGGGAGGAGACUGGGGUUCAAAUCCCCACCGAGGCG